UGAAGGCUGAAAUUCGCCUUCAUGAAGCUGGAAUUGCUAGUAAUGGCAGGUCAGCAUACUGCCGUGAAUACGUUCCCGGGCCUUGUACACACCGCCCGUCACACCAUGAGAGUUGGAAAUACCCGAAGCCUGUGAGCUAACUUAAAGAGGCAGCAGUCGAAGGUAGAGCCAAUGAUUGGGGUGAAGUCGUAACAAGGUAGC
This 201-nucleotide ribosomal RNA is filed under the name uncultured bacterium. RNAcentral's name for it is "partial 16S ribosomal RNA". It matches the Rfam family "Bacterial small subunit ribosomal RNA", at positions 1299 to 1500 of the family's 1533-position model. The record is from RNAcentral.